UCAAACUUGGUCAUUUAGAGGAAGUAAAAGUCGUAACAAGGUUUCCGUAGGUGAACCUGCGGAAGGAUCAUUAACGUAUCUCUGACGGCGAGGGUGUGCCCUGCUCCGGCCCCCCCCCAAAAAGGGCCGUGCAGCGGGUGCUCCCUAGCUGCUCAACCCUUUGCAAACCCCACUGUGCACUUUUGUCGGCGUGAGGGGCAACCCUCCUUGCCGGAUCACAAACACCAAGUUCAAAAGAAUGUUGUGCGGACAGCUUGCCGCCUAAACCAAAUAACAACUUUCAACAACGGAUCUCUUGGCUCUCGCAUCGAUGAAGAACGCAGC
RNAcentral lists this unclassified non-coding RNA (324 nucleotides) under uncultured fungus. RNAcentral describes it as "partial contains small subunit ribosomal RNA, internal transcribed spacer 1, and 5.8S ribosomal RNA". The stretch from base 1 to 73 matches the Rfam family "Eukaryotic small subunit ribosomal RNA", at positions 1759 to 1831 of the family's 1831-position model. The record is from RNAcentral. Lineage: Eukaryota; Fungi.